This 900-nucleotide ribosomal RNA is filed under the name Cystoderma sp. RNAcentral describes it as "partial large subunit ribosomal RNA". It matches the Rfam family "Eukaryotic large subunit ribosomal RNA", at positions 55 to 941 of the family's 3401-position model. The record is from RNAcentral. Lineage: Eukaryota; Fungi; Basidiomycota; Agaricomycetes; Agaricales; Squamanitaceae.
GGAAAAGAACCUACCAAGGAUUCCCCUAGUAACUGCGAGUGAAGCGGGAAAAGCUCAAAUUUAAAUUCUGGCGGUCUCAGACUGUCCGAGUUGUAAUCUAGAGAAGUGUUAUCCGCGCUGGACCGUGUACAAGUCUCCUGGAAUGGAGCGUCAUAGAGGGUGAGAAUCCCGUCUUUGACACGGACUGCCAGGGCUUUGUGAUGCGCUCUCAAAGAGUCGAGUUGUUUGGGAAUGCAGCUCAAAAUGGGUGGUAAAUUCCAUCUAAAGCUAAAUAUUGGCGAGAGACCGAUAGCGAACAAGUACCGUGAGGGAAAGAUGAAAAGAACUUUGGAAAGAGAGUUAAACAGUACGUGAAAUUGCUGAAAGGGAAACGCUUGAAGUCAGUCGCGUUGGCCAGGGAUCAACCUUGCUCUUGCUGGGUGUACUUCCUGGUUAACGGGUCAACAUCAAUUUUGAUUGUUGGAAAAAGAUCAAGGGAAUGUGGCAUCUUCGGAUGUGUUAUAGCCUUUGGUUGUAUACAACAAUUGGGAUUGAGGAACUCAGCACGCCGAAAGGCCGGGUUUUUAACCACGUUCGUGCUUAGGAUGUUGGCAUAAUGGCUUUAAUCGACCCGUCUUGAAACACGGACCAAGGAGUCUAACAUGCCUGCGAGUGUUUGGGUGGAAAACCCGAGCGCGUAAUGAAAGUGAAAGUUGAGAUCCCUGUCGUGGGGAGCAUCGACGCCCGGACCAGAAAUUUAUGGACGGUUCCGCGGUAGAGCAUGUAUGUUGGGACCCGAAAGAUGGUGAACUAUGCCUGAAUAGGGUGAAGCCAGAGGAAACUCUGGUGGAGGCUCGUAGCGAUUCUGACGUGCAAAUCGAUCGUCAAAUUUGGGUAUAGGGGCGAAAGACUAAUCGAACC